This 690-nucleotide ribosomal RNA is filed under the name Vibrio diazotrophicus. Its description in RNAcentral is "bacterial SSU rRNA". It matches the Rfam family "Bacterial small subunit ribosomal RNA", at positions 77 to 758 of the family's 1533-position model. The record is from RNAcentral. Lineage: Bacteria; Pseudomonadati; Pseudomonadota; Gammaproteobacteria; Vibrionales; Vibrionaceae.
GACUUGUUCCUUGGGUGGCGAGCGGCGGACGGGUGAGUAAUGCCUGGGAAAUUGCCCUGAUGUGGGGGAUAACCAUUGGAAACGAUGGCUAAUACCGCAUGAUAGCUUCGGCUCAAAGAGGGGGACCUUCGGGCCUCUCGCGUCAGGAUAUGCCCAGGUGGGAUUAGCUAGUUGGUGAGGUAAUGGCUCACCAAGGCGACGAUCCCUAGCUGGUCUGAGAGGAUGAUCAGCCACACUGGAACUGAGACGCGGUCCAGACUCCUACGGGAGGCAGCAGUGGGGAAUAUUGCACAAUGGGCGCAAGCCUGAUGCAGCCAUGCCGCGUGUGUGAAGAAGGCCUUCGGGUUGUAAAGCACUUUCAGUAGGGAGGAAGGUGGUGUUGUUAAUAGCAGCAUCAUUUGACGUUACCUACUGAAUAUGCACCGGCUAACUCCGUGCCAGCAGCCGCGGUAAUACGGAGGGUGCGAGCGUUAAUCGGAAUUACUGGGCGUAAAGCGCAUGCAGGUGGUUUGUUAAGUCAGAUGUGAAAGCCCGGGGCUCAACCUCGGGAAUAGCAUUUGAAACUGGCAAGCUAGAGUACUGUAGAGGGGGGUAGAAUUUCAGGUGUAGCGGUGAAAUGCGUAGAGAUCUGAAGGAAUACCGGUGGCGAAAGGCGGCCCCCUGGACAGAUACUGACACUCAGAUGCGAAA